GACGAACGCUGGCGGCGUGCUUAACACAUGCAAGUCGAACGGAAAGGCCCUGCUUGCAGGGUACUCGAGUGGCGAACGGGUGAGUAACACGUGGGUGAUCUGCCCUGCACUUCGGGAUAAGCCUGGGAAACUGGGUCUAAUACCGGAUAUGACCUUCCAUGUAGUGUGGGGGGUGGAAAGAUUUAUCGGUGUGGGAUGAGCCCGCGGCCUAUCAGCUUGUUGGUGGGGUAAUGGCCUACCAAGGCGUCGACGGGUAGCCGGCCUGAGAGGGUGGACGGCCACAUUGGGACUGAGAUACGGCCCAGACUCCUACGGGAGGCAGCAGUGGGGCAUAUUGCACAAUGGGCGGAAGCCUGAUGCAGCGACGCCGCGUGGGGGAUGACGGCCUUCGGGUUGUAAACCUCUUUCGACAGGGACGAAGCUUCGGUGACGGUACCUGUAUAAGAAGCACCGGCUAACUACGUG
This 465-nucleotide ribosomal RNA is filed under the name uncultured bacterium. RNAcentral describes it as "partial 16S ribosomal RNA". It matches the Rfam family "Bacterial small subunit ribosomal RNA", at positions 28 to 507 of the family's 1533-position model. The record is from RNAcentral.